UACGUAGGGGGCAAGCGUUGUUCGGAAUUACUGGGCGUAAAGGGCUUGUAGGCGGCCUACUAAGUCGGACGUGAAAUCCCUCGGCUUAACCGGGGAACUGCGUCCGAUACUGGAUGGCUUGAGUUCGGGAGAGGGAUGCGGAAUUCCAGGUGUAGCGGUGAAAUGCGUAGAUAUCUGGAGGAACACCGGUGGCGAAGGCGGCAUCCUGGACCGACACUGACGCUGAGGAGCGAAAGCCAGGGGAGCAAACGGG
This 253-nucleotide ribosomal RNA is filed under the name uncultured bacterium. RNAcentral describes it as "partial 16S ribosomal RNA". It matches the Rfam family "Bacterial small subunit ribosomal RNA", at positions 524 to 776 of the family's 1533-position model. The record is from RNAcentral.